AGGGUCUAUACACCUUCACCAGGAAAGCAGUGAUGACAGCUGUGCUCCCUGUCUCCUGCAGGAUGUGGAUGGCGAGGUGUCCACUUCCCUCUGCUGCUUGAUCUCAGAUACACUCAACCACAGAUCCUAUUAACUGGCAACCUGAAGGUUUAUGCACCUUGAGGACUGCUGAACACCUUGACACAGCUAGCUCGUGCAUCUAAGAGAUUGACUGAGGCAGCAGCUUUGAAAUACUUCUUCAACUACUGCAAAGACUGCAAGAUAUCCAUUAAAGCACAAUUUACUUCAUCAGCAAGCCUUCUGCAAGCUGUUCCCAAAAAGGGUGAAAUGAGCUGUGGCCUGGAAAGGACAUUACUAGAAGAAACCAUGGAAGAACGGGAAUGACAACAUUCAGGUCUGCCAAACCCAAUCUGACUUAAUUUAAUGCAACUAUUCACAAUAAAGGUUUCUAAAAUAUAAUAUCUGUUAAAAUAUAAACUUUAACCAA
RNAcentral lists this long non-coding RNA (487 nucleotides) under Callithrix jacchus (white-tufted-ear marmoset). RNAcentral's name for it is "lncRNA (ENSCJAG00000079331.1)". The record is from RNAcentral. Lineage: Eukaryota; Metazoa; Chordata; Mammalia; Primates; Cebidae.